AGUGAGUAAACAAACACCAUUUUAAAUCAGCUAAAGCCGAGUAAAAGGAGACAAUUAAAAUAUCCCAUCAUUUUAAGUAUUUUACAAUUUGAAAAUUCAUCCCAACCCAUGCAAUCGGUUGUAUUUCAUUUAAUUUCUCAUUAGGGCUUAUGACUUUCAUAAACAGUUGGCUCAUGCCAUCAAAUAUACUCGAUGACACCUUGAUCAGAGGCGUACACUCGAACCCGCCAAAGCUGUUAAAAAUUUCGUAUACACGUAAAACAUAUUUUUAGUUUGAGAAAACACAGCCGUUCCUUAGCGUUGGCUGAGUUCCCCUUCACGUGGUGGUUUGGCGUGAAGUGAACCCUAAGCUUUACCCUAGGAGAUACCCUACGUGCCUCUCCGUUCGAGGUAAGAAUAUAAUGGGGUUUACCGUGCCCCUCUAAA
RNAcentral lists this long non-coding RNA (426 nucleotides) under Theobroma cacao (cacao). RNAcentral's name for it is "long non-coding RNA (TCAC_LNC000865)". The record is from RNAcentral. Lineage: Eukaryota; Viridiplantae; Streptophyta; Magnoliopsida; Malvales; Malvaceae.